This 551-nucleotide ribosomal RNA is filed under the name uncultured Glomeromycotina. Its description in RNAcentral is "SSU rRNA". It matches the Rfam family "Eukaryotic small subunit ribosomal RNA", at positions 548 to 1098 of the family's 1831-position model. Lineage: Eukaryota; Fungi; Glomeromycota. The record is from RNAcentral.
UUGGAGGGCAAGUCUGGUGCCAGCAGCCGCGGUAAUUCCAGCUCCAAUAGCGUAUACUAAAGUUGUUGCAGUUAAAAAGCUCGUAGUUGAAUUUCGGAAUCCAUCCGUCGGUCGGGCCUCACGGUCCGCACUGGUGUGAUGGAUUCCUACCUUCUGAAUAACCAGCAUGUCAUUAAUUUGGUGCGUUGGGGAAGCAGGACUGUUACCUUGAAAAAAUUAGAGUGCUUAAAGCAGGCUAGUGCCUGAAUACAUUAGCAUGGAAUAAUGAAAUAGGACGGCAUGGUUCUAUUUUGUUGGUUUCUAGGAUCACCGUAAUGAUUAAUAGGGAUAGUUGGGGGCAUUAGUAUUCAAUUGUCAGAGGUGAAAUUCUUGGAUUUAUUGAAGACUAACUUCUGCGAAAGCAUUUGCCAAGGAUGUUUUCAUUAAUCAAGAACGAAAGUUAGGGGAUCGAAGACGAUCAGAUACCGUCGUAGUCUUAACCAUAAACUAUGCCGACUAGGGAUCGGACGAUGUUAAUUUUUUAAUGACUCGUUCGGCGCCUUACGGGAAAC